GGGAAAACGCAGAGUCCAACAAUGGGAUAAAAAUGUGCCUCAAGAGUGGGUAAAUUGAACUCCCCCAAGCCACUGAAGAUUGCUAAGGGUCUUCAUUUUGGCAAUAUAGAUCCAAAUAUUGUGAUAACAGAGGUUACCAAAGGACUUUGUCUCCAUUAUAUAGAGUUAACAGAGAUAUGGCAUGAACAUGUAUUAGAAAAAUGAUUCACACACAAUAGAAAAAAUAAGUAAGACCAGGAUUGGGUGGCUUUGGAGAAUGUAAUUUCAGCUUGAAUAUGAAGAUGCUUGUAGAACAGUGUUCCUUCCUCUGAACAUGGCUACAGAAGAACAAAUCAGUUAGUCUGAAGAUGAAAACAAGAAGCUGAUGGUAGACACAUUCUGAACUGGCUAACACAACACUCUGAAACUGGAGGAUAUCAACUGAUAAGAUAUGAAGUUCUCCCUUAGUUUCAAAUACACUGGGUUCAUAAAUUAUUGACAUAAACAAUAGAUGUCCCAUCAAGCUACCAUGAAGAUAGCUAGGUCUGCACAACUCCUCAAGUGUCGACCCCUCCAAGCACAUCCUCCACCUGGAACUGUGAACUGAAUGGAUAAAUGUGUUGGUCAGAAAG
Molecule: long non-coding RNA, 611 nt
Filed under: Homo sapiens (human)
Lineage: Eukaryota; Metazoa; Chordata; Mammalia; Primates; Hominidae
Description: long intergenic non-protein coding RNA 1708
Source: RNAcentral